GCCUUCGUGAUGUAGUGGUCAGCACGCUCGACGCGUAACCGAGAGGUCCGUGGUUCGAUUCCCGGCGAAGGCG
Stegodyphus mimosarum is the source of this 73-nucleotide non-coding RNA. Lineage: Eukaryota; Metazoa; Arthropoda; Arachnida; Araneae; Eresidae. The record is from Rfam.